Molecule: ribosomal RNA, 251 nt
Filed under: uncultured bacterium
Lineage: Bacteria
Description: partial 16S ribosomal RNA
Rfam family: Bacterial small subunit ribosomal RNA
Source: RNAcentral
UACGUAGGUGGCAAGCGUUGUCCGGAUUUACUGGGUGUAAAGGGCGUGCAGCCGGAGAGACAAGUCAGAUGUGAAAUCCACGGGCUCAACCCGUGAACUGCAUUUGAAACUGUUUCCCUUGAGUGUCGGAGAGGUAAUCGGAAUUCCUUGUGUAGCGGUGAAAUGCGUAGAUAUAAGGAAGAACACCAGUGGCGAAGGCGGAUUACUGGACGAUAACUGACGGUGAGGCGCGAAAGCGUGGGGAGCAAACA